RNAcentral lists this ribosomal RNA (403 nucleotides) under uncultured cyanobacterium. Its description in RNAcentral is "bacterial SSU rRNA". It matches the Rfam family "Bacterial small subunit ribosomal RNA", at positions 370 to 788 of the family's 1533-position model. The record is from RNAcentral. Lineage: Bacteria; Bacillati; Cyanobacteriota.
AAUGGGCGCAAGCCUGACGGAGCAAGACCGCGUGAGGGAGGAAGGCUCUUGGGUUGUAAACCUCUUUUAUCAGGGAAGAAGAUCUGACGGUACCUGAUGAAUCAGCAUCGGCUAACUCCGUGCCAGCAGCCGCGGUAAUACGGAGGAUGCAAGCGUUAUCCGGAUUUAUUGGGCGUAAAGCGUCCGCAGGUGGUUUUUCAAGUCUGCUGUUAAAGCGCAGAGCUUAACUCYGUAWCGGCGGUGGAAACUGAGAGACUAGAGUAUGGUAGGGGUUGCGGGAAUUCCCAGUGUAGCGGUGAAAUGCGUAGAUAUUGGGAAGAACACCAGCGGCGAAAGCGCGCAACUGGGCCAUUACUGACACUCAUGGACGAAAGCUAGGGGAGCGAAAGGGAUUAGAUACCCC